CGGGACACGUGGUAUCCUGUCUGAAUAUGGGGGGACCAUCCUCCAAGGCUAAAUACUCCUGACUGACCGAUAGUGAACCAGUACCGUGAGGGAAAGGCGAAAAGAACCCCGGCGAGGGGAGUGAAAAAGAACCUGAAACCGUGUACGUACAAGCAGUGGGAGCCUCUUUAUGGGGUGACUGCGUACCUUUUGUAUAAUGGGUCAGCGACUUAUAUUCUGUAGCAAGGUUAACCGAAUAGGGGAGCCGAAGGGAAACCGAGUCUUAACUGGGCGUUAAGUUGCAGGGUAUAGACCCGAAACCCGGUGAUCUAGCCAUGGGCAGGUUGAAGGUUGGGUAACACUAACUGGAGGACCGAACCGACUAAUGUUGAAAAAUUAGCGGAUGACUUGUGGCUGGGGGUGAAAGGCCAAUCAAACCGGGAGAUAGCUGGUUCUCCCCGAAAGCUAUUUAGGUAGCGCCUCGUGAAUUCAUCUCCGGGGGUAGAGCACUGUUUCGGCAAGGGGGUCAUCCCGACUUACCAACCCGAUGCAAACUGCGAAUACCGGAGAAUGUUAUCACGGGAGACACACGGCGGGUGCUAACGUCCGUCGUGAAGAGGGAAACAACCCAGACCGCCAGCUAAGGUCCCAAAGUCAUGGUUAAGUGGGAAACGAUGUGGGAAGGCCCAGACAGCCAGGAUGUUGGCUUAGAAGCAGCCAUCAUUUAAAGAAAGCGUAAUAGCUCACUGGUCGAGUCGGCCUGCGCGGAAGAUGUAACGGGGCUAAACCAUGCACCGAAGCUGCGGCAGCGACACUAUGUGUUGUUGGGUAGGGGAGCG
This 818-nucleotide ribosomal RNA is filed under the name Escherichia coli. RNAcentral's name for it is "partial 23S ribosomal RNA". It matches the Rfam family "Bacterial large subunit ribosomal RNA", at positions 418 to 1238 of the family's 2925-position model. The record is from RNAcentral. Lineage: Bacteria; Pseudomonadati; Pseudomonadota; Gammaproteobacteria; Enterobacterales; Enterobacteriaceae.